ACAGAGAAGCAGAACAUCCUUCUUCAACACAUGCAUGAAAAAUAUUUUUUUAUUUUGACCAACAAAUGUGGAAAUAAGCAUUAACACGAAAACGAGGCUGCCUCGUUUUCGUGUUAAUGCUUAUUUCCAUAUUUAUUGACCAAAAUCCAAAAAUUUUUCGCGCAUGUGUUGAAGAAGGAUGGCUACUUCUCUGU
Non-coding RNA from Paramuricea clavata, 194 nucleotides. The record is from the annotation of a GenBank genome assembly. NCBI's taxonomy places the organism in Eukaryota, Metazoa, Cnidaria, Anthozoa, Malacalcyonacea, Plexauridae.